GCCUGUGUGGAGCAAAUGGUUAAGUGCUUGACUACCAGUCAAGAGGUUGGUGGUUCAAACCCACCCAGAGGCU
This 73-nucleotide transfer RNA is filed under the name Loxodonta africana (African savanna elephant). It matches the Rfam family "tRNA". From Rfam's summary of the family: Transfer RNA (tRNA) molecules are approximately 80 nucleotides in length. Their secondary structure includes four short double-helical elements and three loops (D, anti-codon, and T loops). The record is from Rfam by way of RNAcentral. Lineage: Eukaryota; Metazoa; Chordata; Mammalia; Proboscidea; Elephantidae.